Molecule: ribosomal RNA, 386 nt
Filed under: Ichthyosporea sp.
Lineage: Eukaryota; Ichthyosporea
Description: partial small subunit ribosomal RNA
Rfam family: Eukaryotic small subunit ribosomal RNA
Source: RNAcentral
AUUCCAGCUCCAAUAGCGUAUAUUAAAGUUGUUGCAGUUAAAAAGCUCGUAGUUGGAUUUUGGGAUAAGCUAGUUGGUCCGCCGCAAGGUGAGAACUGACGGGCAUAUCCUUCCUCUCGAAAACGGUGCGUGCGCUUUAAACCGUGUGUAUCGGGUUCGGGACUUUUACUGUGAGAAAAUUAGAGUGUUCAAAGCAGGCUAUCGCUUGAAUAUUUCAGCAUGGAAUAAUGGAAUAGGACAUUGGUUCUAUUUUGUUGGUUUCUAGGACCGAAGUAAUGAUUAAUAGGAAUAGUUGGGGGCAUUAGUAUUUAAUUGUCAGAGGUGAAAUUCUUGGAUUUAUGAAAGACUAACUUCUGCGAAAGCAUUAGCCAAGGAUGUUUUCAUUA